Molecule: ribosomal RNA, 400 nt
Filed under: uncultured bacterium
Lineage: Bacteria
Description: bacterial SSU rRNA
Rfam family: Bacterial small subunit ribosomal RNA
Source: RNAcentral
UGGGGAAUAUUGGACAAUGGGGGCAACCCUGAUCCAGCGAUGCCGCGUGAGUGAAGAAGGCCUUCGGGUUGUAAAACUCUUUCACCUGUGAAGAUAAUGACGGUAGCAGGAGAAGAAGCACCGUCAAACUCUGUGCCAGCAGCCGCGGUAAUACAGAGGGUGCUAGCGUUGUUCGGAAUGACUGGGCGUAAAGGGCGCGUAGGCGGUUGACUAAGUCAGAUGUGAAAGCCCAGGGCUUAACCUUGGAAUGUCAUUUGAUACUGGUCGACUGGAGUACGAGAGAGGAAAGUGGAAUUCCUAGUGUAGAGGUGAAAUUCGUAGAUAUUAGGAGGAACACCAGAGGCGAAGGCGGCUUUCUGGCUCGUAACUGACGCUAAGGCGCGAAAGCGUGGGGAGCAAA